This 503-nucleotide ribosomal RNA is filed under the name uncultured bacterium. RNAcentral's name for it is "partial 16S ribosomal RNA". It matches the Rfam family "Bacterial small subunit ribosomal RNA", at positions 30 to 523 of the family's 1533-position model. The record is from RNAcentral.
AUUGAACGCUGGCGGCAGGCUUAACACAUGCAAGUCGAGCGGGGUGAUGGUGCUUGCACUAUCACUUAGCGGCGGACGGGUGAGUAAUGCUUAGGAAUCUGCCUAUUAGUGGGGGACAACAUCCCGAAAGGGAUGCUAAUACCGCAUACGUCCUACGGGAGAAAGAAGGGGAUCACUUGUGACCUUGCGCUAAUAGAUGAGCCUAAGUCGGAUUAGCUAGUUGGUGGGGUAAAGGCCUACCAAGGCGACGGUCUGUAGCGGGUCUGAGAGGAUGAUCCGCCACACUGGGACUGAGACACGGCCCAGACUCCUACGGGAGGCAGCAGUGGGGAAUAUUGGACAAUGGGGGGAACCCUGAUCCAGCCAUGCCGCGUGUGUGAAGUAGGCCUUAUGGUUGUAAAGCACUUUAAGCGAGGAGGAGGCUCUUUUGGUUAAUACCCAAGAUGAGUGGACGUUACUCGCAGAAUAAGCACCGGCUAACUCUGUGCCAGCCGCCGCGGUAA